GUCCAGAGCUCCUGAUUUUUGGGAAAGUUCCUCUUCUCACCAGGAUCUAGACUGUGUGCUUUAAAAACGACAAAGGUGUACCACUGUGAAAUUCUUUAAAAAUGUGCCUGUGAAGAGUGCCAGAUUGACAGCUCUGCUCCUAGAGCAGAGUCAGCACCCACAGCUGCAGUACAAACUUCCCUCAGCCAACAUGCUCCUGGGACCACCUGUUGUGAUAAGAUGACAAUUCAGUUUCAGUGUCCAUUCAAACCCUGAUUUUUAUGCUGAGUUUUCUGACAAGGGUGACGAUUUUCAUCAAAAAUGGCAAUGUUUUGGUGUUGUGGAUAUCUGUCCACCUUUCUCACAGCACAAUGAGACAAGGUGCUUGUCUACAUUAGGGGAAUUUGCACUGAGUUAACUAUAUUGAUUUAAUUACACCUGUGAAAUGCCCUAAACUAGACAUAUUACACUGGUCCAAUUAAUGUUGGCAAUUUACUAAAGUAAGUCGCAAUGGUACAAACCUCAUCAGAGGCCUGUGCAGUACAUCUGCACCUGACAUUUGCACUGGUGUAGCUACAUCUGGAAAACCUUGGGGUGAAAAAAGCAUGUUUGUGCAAAAUGUGUGUUUUGUGGGGGGAAGAUGCAUAUUGAGUGCUUCCUUUGUAACCUUAAUAGUGUUCUUUUAACAUCGUUUUUGUGUGUGUAAUUUUUAUAGCAGAGCAAGAGCUCUGCUACAGUUAAGGU
This is a long non-coding RNA of Mauremys mutica (yellowpond turtle), 723 nucleotides long. RefSeq lists it as uncharacterized. The transcript is spliced from 3 exons. NCBI's taxonomy places the organism in Eukaryota, Metazoa, Chordata, Testudines, Geoemydidae. The record is from RefSeq and is a predicted model, not a curated record.